GUGACCGCUUUAGUGACACAUAUACUAAAAUUGGAACAAUUCAAGAAGAUUAGCAUAGACCCUGUGCAAGGAUGGCGCGCAAAUUCAUGAAGCGUUCCAUAUUCUU
This is a small nuclear RNA of Ictidomys tridecemlineatus (thirteen-lined ground squirrel), 106 nucleotides long. NCBI's taxonomy places the organism in Eukaryota, Metazoa, Chordata, Mammalia, Rodentia, Sciuridae. The record is from Ensembl.